Molecule: RNA transcript, 2199 nt
Organism: Papaver somniferum (opium poppy)
Lineage: Eukaryota; Viridiplantae; Streptophyta; Magnoliopsida; Ranunculales; Papaveraceae
Exons: 3
Source: RefSeq, a predicted model, not a curated record
CGUGGUCUUGGUGUAGCUCUAACUUUUUGUCUCAUGUCAUGGUCUUGGUGUAGCUCUAACUUUUUGUCCCAUGUACACUCAAUAUCCAUAAUACGGGUGCUUUUUUUUCUGUUUAGAAUUGAUUAUUAUUUCCCUCUAUCCAAGCAAAAAGAGGUUGUUUGUUGUCCAAUAAUUUUAGGUAUAUUGAAGAGUCGUUCCGAGCAAAAUUUUCGACAGACACAAUCUUGUGGGUAAAGUACACCCCACUGCUAGUCUCCGCCGGGGGCUCACUGGGCUAUGUCUGUCGGGAUUUUUCUCGGGACCAAUUCUUUGUAUACGUUGAGUUGUUACUAUCCUUACAUUUUGGAUUUUGGAAUGUCUUGUUACAAAACGAGUUUAAUAUAGUUCUAAGAUGGUUUAUGUUUGCCUUUUCCAUUGUAUCAAUAUUUAUGUUGAAGAAAAAAAAGUUGAGUCGCUAUGACACUAAUCCUCAUAACAACCACUCUAAUCCUCAUAACAACUUAAAUGUGCACCUAGGCACCGUAAGAUUCUCGGCAUGAUUUUUCUUCCGAGGGAAGCACAUGAUUUAUAGCCUGUUUGAAUAGUAUUUGACAAGUUGCUUUUGAACUGUUUGAAGUCGAAAAGUCAGAAGUUAAUUUGGCGACAUAAUUUUAAAAUGACUUUUAGAAGCAAAAAAAAUAAUAGCACGAGAAGUCAGAAGUGCAUCAAAAGUUAACUUUUUUGCUUCUAGAAGUCGUUUUAAAACUCGAUACCCAAACUAACGUCUUGAUUUUUGACUUCUAGAAGUCAAAAAGUAACUUCCACACUCAAAACUUUUGUAACUUUCACACUCGACUUUUUUUUUGUAGCAUAAAAUUUUUGUUUCUGACUUUUGCUUCCGCUGAAACAAAAUUUUGACAGUUUUUUAAUUAAUUUUGCUUGCCCUUGAUUUUAAUGAAUAUUAGAACUCAGUUCAAAACAAGAACAUGUGACAAUAAUCUCAUGGCAGUGAUAGAAUGAUUAUGAUGCCAAUGCUUCACUUUAUCAGGUGUUUUCUUACAACAGAUUAGGAUAUCUGAAGUAAAGUGAAGGCUGUAUCAUCCUUUGCAGUUGUGCAUGGCACAUGCCAAUGGUGCAGCAAUUGAAAACCAACAGAGAUUAGUUUUAUCAAUUGGUAUUGGCCAGACAACUGUAAGGGUGAGGUGGCCACGGAUUACGGGUUUAAUUCAGUUCAGAUCAAACAACACCAAAACAACCCCCUCACAUUGGAAUGGGAUCUACCCCAAAAAGGAUCCCCUGCCCACUUUAAUGUGACGGUUGUUUUUAAGUUGUUUUUUUUUGUUGUUCGUCUAGAAUCACUCUUUCUACUAACUCCAUUUCACUCUUUCAAUUGCAUUUCAUUACUUUUUUUUUUUUGAUGGAUAAAGAGAGAUUUGGGUUUCCAAAGUAAUUUGCAAAACAGGUUAACAGACCGUCUGAAAGAAGAGGUAGCUACGGGUCAUGGUGUCUUGCGGGAGUGGCUUCUCUGGGUAUGCCAAGCACUCUUUAGUCCAGAAAAUUAAAAUUCCCUUUUUGUUGAAUGCCCGAAGAACUGCUGCAGAUUCUUUCCCAACCCUGUACAAAUCCAAUCAUGCACAGGAGUUGCAAAAAGAUGCUUAAGAUGGAUGUCAACUUUGUGGAUUCAGAUGCUGUUAACAUUUGUCAGGGAAAUUGAAGAGUUCGGAUCCAGGAAAACCAUGGCGCUGUGCCCUGGAUGGAAUAACAUUGUUGUCAAUAGUAAGAACAAAAAUUGGAAAGCGCAUGCCGAGUAGGAAUGCUACACAGAAACCUUGACGAACAAAUUUGCUGGUUCUGGAAGGUGGUAGAGGGUAUGUCUAUGGAGCAGGAGAAGGAGCUUCUUUUAUUUUGGACCUCAUUGAAAUGCCUACAAGUAAAUGGUUUUUCUGGCUUGCCUUAUCUUUUGACCAUAUACGAGGCACCUGGUUCUGAUGAGCGCCUGCCAUCAUCCCAUGCAUGCUUCUUCCGAGUUGUCACUUCCACACGACAUCAUCUCUCUUUUAUCUGCCAACAACAUGUAGGCUGUGUUUCUGGGCUUGUAGAUCUCAUAUCCUGAUCAACAGGACAACUCGCUGUACCCAACCUACAAUAUCUCCAGCAUUUGUAGUUCUGAAAAUUGAAUGUUCAAUCUGAAUGCUUGAAAUAGUAUUUCAUUUUGUAUUG